UAGGGAAUAUUGGACAAUGGGGGCAACCCUGAUCCAGCAAUGCCGCGUGAGUGAUGAAGGCCUUAGGGUUGUAAAGCUCUUUUACCCGGGAUGAUAAUGACAGUACCGGGAGAAUAAGCCCCGGCUAACUCCGUGCCAGCAGCCGCGGUAAUACGGAGGGGGCUAGCGUUGUUCGGAAUUACUGGGCGUAAAGCGCACGUAGGCGGCGAUUUAAGUCAGAGGUGAAAGCCCGGGGCUCAACCCCGGAAUAGCCUUUGAGACUGGAUUGCUUGAACAUCGGAGAGGUGAGUGGAAUUCCGAGUGUAGAGGUGAAAUUCGUAGAUAUUCGGAAGAACACCAGUGGCGAAGGCGGCUCACUGGACGAUUGUUGACGCUGAGGUGCGAAAGCGUGGGGAGCAAACAGG
This 404-nucleotide ribosomal RNA is filed under the name uncultured bacterium. Its description in RNAcentral is "bacterial SSU rRNA". It matches the Rfam family "Bacterial small subunit ribosomal RNA", at positions 355 to 776 of the family's 1533-position model. The record is from RNAcentral. RNAcentral also lists the same sequence under 1 other name.